Molecule: long non-coding RNA, 436 nt
Filed under: Marmota monax (woodchuck)
Lineage: Eukaryota; Metazoa; Chordata; Mammalia; Rodentia; Sciuridae
Source: RNAcentral
GGAUGUGACUCAGUUAACUGCCUCUAGGUUCAAUCCCUGGUACAAAAAAAAAAAAAAUGUGUGUGUGUGUAUUGGACAUUCAUUGUGUACAUUGCCCUAUUCAAAACACUGUGAAGGGGUGUUAAAGUCAAUACGUAGAUGACCUUGCUCUCAGAGAGUAGACAGAUAGAUAGAAAGGCGGGUAUUAAGUAGAAAUGUAGAUACUCCCAAGCUUGUAGGUUGGCAUUCUCAAUACCUAUAUCCAGAGUAGUGAAGUGUUUACAACAUUUUGUUUUGGAUAUGUAUUCUCUAAGUACGUCCAAUAUUUACAUCUUAACAGAAUCUAACUUCCAGCAAUCAUCCUUUACAUACCCAUUGUUUUUAUUUCAGUGCCUAACGAUGUUGAUCAUAAAUCCUUUUUUCUAAUAGUAGCUAGUUUCUCAAAUGUGUUUGUGCU